ACAACGACGUUGAAGGGAAGAGUAACAUCUUGUAAAACCGGAUUAGCGAGCUGGGGGCGGUGAGAGCCCAGUCGGAAACAAGUUGCGAAGAACAUCCCGGAGUCGCUACCCGAACACUGAAGUCAGUAGGCGUAGCCGGAGUUGCCUGUCCGUUAUCAUAUGGCCGAAGAUUGAGAUGAUAAUUGAUCAUCAGUCUUUUGAGUGAGCAGCUGAGCUGUUAACAUGGGUGGUACCGCGGAACCGAGUCUUUCGUCCCAUAU
This 260-nucleotide non-coding RNA is filed under the name Exiguobacterium artemiae. RNAcentral describes it as "Exiguobacterium sibiricum T-box sequence". It matches the Rfam family "T-box leader". From Rfam's summary of the family: Uncharged tRNA acts as the effector for transcription antitermination of genes in the T-box leader family. The record is from RNAcentral. Lineage: Bacteria; Bacillati; Bacillota; Bacilli; Caryophanales.